This is a transfer RNA of Camelus ferus (Wild Bactrian camel), 71 nucleotides long. It matches the Rfam family "tRNA". From Rfam's summary of the family: Transfer RNA (tRNA) molecules are approximately 80 nucleotides in length. Their secondary structure includes four short double-helical elements and three loops (D, anti-codon, and T loops). Further hydrogen bonds mediate the characteristic L-shaped molecular structure. tRNAs have two regions of fundamental functional importance: the anti-codon, which is responsible for specific mRNA codon recognition, and the 3' end, to which the tRNAs corresponding amino acid is attached (by aminoacyl-tRNA synthetases). tRNAs cope with the degeneracy of the genetic code in two manners: having more than one tRNA (with a specific anti-codon) for a particular amino acid; and 'wobble' base-pairing, i.e. permitting non-standard base-pairing at the 3rd anti-codon position. NCBI's taxonomy places the organism in Eukaryota, Metazoa, Chordata, Mammalia, Artiodactyla, Camelidae. The record is from Rfam.
GAGGGUAUAUCUCAGUGGUGGAGCAUGUGCUAGCAUGCAUGAGGUCCUGGGUUCAAUCCCCAGUACCUCCA